This is a long non-coding RNA of Sinocyclocheilus rhinocerous, 258 nucleotides long. RefSeq lists it as uncharacterized. The transcript is spliced from 3 exons. NCBI's taxonomy places the organism in Eukaryota, Metazoa, Chordata, Actinopteri, Cypriniformes, Cyprinidae. The record is from RefSeq and is a predicted model, not a curated record.
GCCAUUCACUUGGCUUCAUUUCAUCCUUAUUUUGAUCCUCGGGUGUCCGGCAAACUGUCCAAUCUGGAGGAGGACGGGGAGACUAGCAUGGCCAUGACGGGUGGCAUGGCAGCGCCGCUCCCGAUGAGUAACCAUACACGUGAGAGAGUCACGGUGGCCAAACUCACGCUGGAGCACUUCUACAGCACCCUGCUCACCCAGCACGAGGAGCGGGAGAUGAGGCAGAAGAAGCUGGAGAAGGUGAUGGAUGAGGAGGGU